GUGAAUCAUCGAAUUUUUGAACGCAAAUUGCGCCUUUUUCAGAUCGCAUGUCUGUUUCAGGGUAAUUUAAAAGCCUCCUUAACCAAUUUCUUUUGGUCAAAGGAAAUGAGCUCUCCGCGUUUAUAGCGGUAGCUUGAAAUAAAUGGUCAAGUCUCAUUUUAGUCGAGACGCGUAAUAAUAUUAUUUCGCGAAAUCUUCAUUAUGUGACUAUCAAGUUUUGAUGCAUACAAAUUUGCUUUGUAUGCGAUCAAUACAAAUAUUUUGAACAUUACCUCAAAUCAGGUAGGA
Molecule: unclassified non-coding RNA, 288 nt
Filed under: Ambisporaceae sp.
Lineage: Eukaryota; Fungi; Glomeromycota; Glomeromycetes; Archaeosporales; Ambisporaceae
Description: partial internal transcribed spacer 2
Source: RNAcentral